GUGCUUGCUUCCACAGCACAUAUGCUAGGAAACUGGAAAGUUACAGAGAAGGAUAGCACGACCCUUGAACAAGGAUGACGUGCAAAUUCAUGAAGUGUUCCACAUUUUU
Molecule: small nuclear RNA, 109 nt
Filed under: Procavia capensis (Cape rock hyrax)
Lineage: Eukaryota; Metazoa; Chordata; Mammalia; Hyracoidea; Procaviidae
Source: RNAcentral